Molecule: ribosomal RNA, 851 nt
Filed under: Comoclathris italica
Lineage: Eukaryota; Fungi; Ascomycota; Dothideomycetes; Pleosporales; Pleosporaceae
Description: eukaryotic LSU rRNA
Rfam family: Eukaryotic large subunit ribosomal RNA
Source: RNAcentral
ACAGGGAUUGCCCUAGUAACGGCGAGUGAAGCGGCAUCAGCUCAAAUUUGAAAUCUGGCUCUUUUAGAGUCCGAGUUGUAAUUUGCAGAGGGCGCUUUGGCAUAGGCAGCGAUUCAAGUUCCUUGGAACAGGACGUCACAGAGGGUGAGAAUCCCGUACGUGGUCGCCAGCUCUUGCCGUGUAAAGCCCCUUCGACGAGUCGAGUUGUUUGGGAAUGCAGCUCUAAAUGGGAGGUAAAUUUCUUCUAAAGCUAAAUAUUGGCCAGAGACCGAUAGCGCACAAGUAGAGUGAUCGAAAGAUGAAAAGUACUUUGGAAAGAGAGUCAAAAAGCACGUGAAAUUGUUGAAAGGGAAGCGCUUGCAGCCAGACUUGCCUGUAGUUGCUCAUCCGGGCUCUUGCCCGGUGCACUCUUCUAUAGGCAGGCCAGCAUCAGUUUGGGCGGUUGGAUAAAGGUCUCUGUCAUGUACCUCUCUUCGGGGAGGCCUUAUAGGGGAGGCGACAUACAACCAGCCUGGACUGAGGUCCGCGCAUUCGUGCUAGGAUGCUGGCGUAAUGGCUGUAAGCGGCCCGUCUUGAAACACGGACCAAGGAGUCUAACAUCUAUGCGAGUGUUUGGGUGUCAAGCCCGAGCGCGUAAUGAAAGUGAACGGAGGUAGGAACCCUUUUGGGUGCACUAUCGACCGAUCCUGAUGUCUUCGGAAGGAUUUGAGUAAGAGCAUGGCUGUUGGGACCCGAAAGAUGGUGAACUAUGCUUGAAUAGGGUGAAGCCAGAGGAAACUCUGGUGGAGGCUCGCAGCGGUUCUGACGUGCAAAUCGAUCGUCAAAUUUGGGCAUAGGGGCGAAAGACUAAU